Molecule: unclassified non-coding RNA, 255 nt
Filed under: fungal sp.
Lineage: Eukaryota; Fungi
Description: partial internal transcribed spacer region
Rfam family: Eukaryotic small subunit ribosomal RNA (bases 1-46)
Source: RNAcentral
AAGUCGUAACAAGGUUUCCGUAGGUGAACCUGCGGAAGGAUCAUUACAGAGUUCAUGCCCUCACGGGUAGACCUCCCACCCUUGUGUAUUUAUACUAUGUUGCUUUGGCAGGCUGCUGCCCCCCUCGGGGACAGCCCCAGCGCCCUCGGGCCUGGGAGUCGCCUGCCGGAGGAAAAACAAACUCUGAAUUGUUAGUGUCGUCUGAGUACUAUAUUUUAAUAGUUAAAACUUUCAACAACGGAUCUCUUGGUUCUG